This 429-nucleotide ribosomal RNA is filed under the name Lactobacillus sp. RNAcentral's name for it is "bacterial SSU rRNA". It matches the Rfam family "Bacterial small subunit ribosomal RNA", at positions 355 to 776 of the family's 1533-position model. Lineage: Bacteria; Bacillati; Bacillota; Bacilli; Lactobacillales; Lactobacillaceae. The record is from RNAcentral.
UAGGGAAUCUUCCACAAUGGACGCAAGUCUGAUGGAGCAACGCCGCGUGAGUGAAGAAGGUUUUCGGAUCGUAAAGCUCUGUUGUUGGUGAAGAAGGAUAGAGGUAGUAACUGGCCUUUAUUUGACGGUAAUCAACCAGAAAGUCACGGCUAACUACGUGCCAGCAGCCGCGGUAAUACGUAGGUGGCAAGCGUUGUCCGGAUUUAUUGGGCGUAAAGCGAGUGCAGGCGGUUCAAUAAGUCUGAUGUGAAAGCCUUCGGCUCAACCGGAGAAUUGCAUCAGAAACUGUUGAACUUGAGUGCAGAAGAGGAGAGUGGAACUCCAUGUGUAGCGGUGGAAUGCGUAGAUGUAUGGAAGAACACCAGUGGCGAAGGCGGCUCUCUGGACUGUAACUGACGCUGAGGCUCGAAAGCAUGGGUAGCGAACAGG